RNAcentral lists this ribosomal RNA (2934 nucleotides) under Bacillus velezensis. Its description in RNAcentral is "23S ribosomal RNA". It matches the Rfam family "Bacterial large subunit ribosomal RNA". Lineage: Bacteria; Bacillati; Bacillota; Bacilli; Caryophanales; Bacillaceae. The record is from RNAcentral.
CGGUUAAGUUAGAAAGGGCGCACGGUGGAUGCCUUGGCACUAGGAGCCGAUGAAGGACGGGACGAACACCGAUAUGCUUCGGGGAGCUGUAAGCAAGCUUUGAUCCGGAGAUUUCCGAAUGGGGAAACCCACCACUCGUAAUGGAGUGGUAUCCAUAUAUGAAUACAUAGGAUAUGAGAAGGCAGACCCGGGGAACUGAAACAUCUAAGUACCCGGAGGAAGAGAAAGCAAAUGCGAUUCCCUGAGUAGCGGCGAGCGAAACGGGACCAGCCCAAACCAAGAGGCUUGCCUCUUGGGGUUGUAGGACACUCUGUACGGAGUUACAAAGGAACGAGGUAGAUGAAGAGGUCUGGAAAGGCCCGCCAUAGAAGGUAACAGCCCUGUAGUCAAAACUUCGUUCUCUCCUGAGUGGAUCCUGAGUACGGCGGAACACGUGAAAUUCCGUCGGAAUCCGGGAGGACCAUCUCCCAAGGCUAAAUACUCCCUAGUGACCGAUAGUGAACCAGUACCGUGAGGGAAAGGUGAAAAGCACCCCGGAAGGGGAGUGAAAGAGAUCCUGAAACCGUGUGCCUACAAGUAGUCAGAGCCCGUUAACGGGUGAUGGCGUGCCUUUUGUAGAAUGAACCGGCGAGUUACGAUCCCGUGCAAGGUUAAGCAGAAGAUGCGGAGCCGCAGCGAAAGCGAGUCUGAAUAGGGCGAAUUGAGUACGUGGUCGUAGACCCGAAACCAGGUGAUCUACCCAUGUCCAGGGUGAAGUUCAGGUAACACUGAAUGGAGGCCCGAACCCACGCACGUUGAAAAGUGCGGGGAUGAGGUGUGGGUAGGGGUGAAAUGCCAAUCGAACCUGGAGAUAGCUGGUUCUCUCCGAAAUAGCUUUAGGGCUAGCCUCAAGGUAAGAGUCUCGGAGGUAGAGCACUGAUUGGACUAGGGGCCCCUACCGGGUUACCGAAUUCAGUCAAACUCCGAAUGCCGAUGACUUAUCCUUGGGAGUCAGACUGCGAGUGAUAAGAUCCGUAGUCGAAAGGGAAACAGCCCAGACCGCCAGCUAAGGUCCCAAAGUAUACGUUAAGUGGAAAAGGAUGUGGAGUUGCUUAGACAACCAGGAUGUUGGCUUAGAAGCAGCCACCAUUUAAAGAGUGCGUAAUAGCUCACUGGUCGAGUGACUCUGCGCCGAAAAUGUACCGGGGCUAAACGUAUCACCGAAGCUGCGGACUGUUCUUCGAACAGUGGUAGGAGAGCGUUCUAAGGGCUGUGAAGCAAGACCGGAAGGACUUGUGGAGCGCUUAGAAGUGAGAAUGCCGGUAUGAGUAGCGAAAGAGGGGUGAGAAUCCCCUCCACCGAAUGCCUAAGGUUUCCUGAGGAAGGCUCGUCCGCUCAGGGUUAGUCGGGACCUAAGCCGAGGCCGAAAGGCGUAGGCGAUGGAUAACAGGUUGAUAUUCCUGUACCACCUCCUCACCAUUUGAGCAAUGGGGGGACGCAGGAGGAUAGGGUAAGCGCGGUAUUGGAUAUCCGCGUCCAAGCAGUUAGGCUGGGAAAUAGGCAAAUCCGUUUCCCGUGAAGGCUGAGCUGUGAUGGCGAGCGAAUUAUAGUAGCGAAGUUCCUGAUUCCACACUGCCAAGAAAAGCCUCUAGCGAGGUGAGAGGUGCCCGUACCGCAAACCGACACAGGUAGGCGAGGAGAGAAUCCUAAGGUGAUCGAGAGAACUCUCGUUAAGGAACUCGGCAAAAUGACCCCGUAACUUCGGGAGAAGGGGUGCUCUGUUAGGGUGCAAGCCCGAGAGAGCCGCAGUGAAUAGGCCCAGGCGACUGUUUAGCAAAAACACAGGUCUCUGCGAAGCCGUAAGGCGAAGUAUAGGGGCUGACGCCUGCCCGGUGCUGGAAGGUUAAGAGGAGCGCUUAGCGUAAGCGAAGGUGCGAAUUGAAGCCCCAGUAAACGGCGGCCGUAACUAUAACGGUCCUAAGGUAGCGAAAUUCCUUGUCGGGUAAGUUCCGACCCGCACGAAAGGCGCAACGAUCUGGGCACUGUCUCAACGAGAGACUCGGUGAAAUUAUAGUACCUGUGAAGAUGCAGGUUACCCGCGACAGGACGGAAAGACCCCGUGGAGCUUUACUGCAGCCUGAUAUUGAAUGUUGGUACAGCUUGUACAGGAUAGGUAGGAGCCUUGGAAACCGGAGCGCCAGCUUCGGUGGAGGCAUCGGUGGGAUACUACCCUGGCUGUAUUGACCUUCUAACCCGCCGCCCUUAUCGGGCGGGGAGACAGUGUCAGGUGGGCAGUUUGACUGGGGCGGUCGCCUCCUAAAAGGUAACGGAGGCGCCCAAAGGUUCCCUCAGAAUGGUUGGAAAUCAUUCGCAGAGUGUAAAGGCACAAGGGAGCUUGACUGCGAGACCUACAAGUCGAGCAGGGACGAAAGUCGGGCUUAGUGAUCCGGUGGUUCCGCAUGGAAGGGCCAUCGCUCAACGGAUAAAAGCUACCCCGGGGAUAACAGGCUUAUCUCCCCCAAGAGUCCACAUCGACGGGGAGGUUUGGCACCUCGAUGUCGGCUCAUCGCAUCCUGGGGCUGUAGUCGGUCCCAAGGGUUGGGCUGUUCGCCCAUUAAAGCGGUACGCGAGCUGGGUUCAGAACGUCGUGAGACAGUUCGGUCCCUAUCCGUCGCGGGCGCAGGAAAUUUGAGAGGAGCUGUCCUUAGUACGAGAGGACCGGGAUGGACGCACCGCUGGUGUACCAGUUGUUCUGCCAAGGGCAUCGCUGGGUAGCUAUGUGCGGACGGGAUAAGUGCUGAAAGCAUCUAAGCAUGAAGCCCCCCUCAAGAUGAGAUUUCCCAUUCCGCAAGGAAGUAAGAUCCCUGAAAGAUGAUCAGGUUGAUAGGUCUGAGGUGGAAGUGUGGCGACACAUGGAGCUGACAGAUACUAAUCGAUCGAGGACUUAACCAAUUU